RNAcentral lists this long non-coding RNA (527 nucleotides) under Cricetulus griseus (Chinese hamster). RNAcentral's name for it is "lncRNA (ENSCGRG00015043041.1)". Lineage: Eukaryota; Metazoa; Chordata; Mammalia; Rodentia; Cricetidae. The record is from RNAcentral.
CACCGCGGGGCGCGGCCCGGGCUGCCGGGAGUGCUGCGCGCCGCGACCCCCAGACAGCUGGGACCCCCGCGGGGUGCUCACAAGACCGGACCCUUCCCCUGAAGGAUGUCCCGCCGAGCGCCUAGCCACCUGUAAGAAAGUACCGCCUGGUUAUUAUUGGGAGUAGUCUGUUCAACUGAUUUGAAGUUUGCAGCGAAGGGGGAGCGUGUCACUACAGCUCACAGAACUUGUUUGCUUGUGGCUCUGUGUACCAAUUCUUGCUCAGCCUCUUUGUUGUGAUCUGAGAAGAGUCUCUCCAAGUCCCCAUGCCUCUGUUCUGGCUCCUAUCCUGAGUGAGAUGGACACUUCAGAAGGGCUAGGAUCUGGCACAAAGCACACUGCUUACUAGUGUGAGAAUUGCCAGAUGGGAAUAAAAGCAAUGGCACUAAACAUGCCUUGACCGCAGCCAGUCAUCCCAGGGCACUGAGAACAAGGGAGACUCUGCUAAUACUCACCAAGGGUUGAUCAAGUUCCUUGGGUAUCUGCUA